Long non-coding RNA from Rosa chinensis, 245 nucleotides. RefSeq lists it as uncharacterized. The record is from RefSeq and is a predicted model, not a curated record. The transcript has 3 exons. Lineage: Eukaryota; Viridiplantae; Streptophyta; Magnoliopsida; Rosales; Rosaceae.
GAGAUCCAAAAUGAGCUCGUUGUUACGAAAGCUGUGGUGAAGAUCAUAAGGUUGUUCAAGCAUUGACUCAGAUCAUACCUGGAUUAUAAGGAGAUAUACCACCUAACUCUACAAAGGGAACACCCUUUGUAGCUGGAAAAUUUCCUCUACUAGGUCAGUUUACAUGCCAGAAUGCUAUUAUGGCUGAGCGCUUUAUUGAAGCAGGAGAGAGAUCUUUUUGCAGUUCAGUGAUGGACCAAGAGAGA